Molecule: ribosomal RNA, 264 nt
Filed under: uncultured archaeon
Lineage: Archaea
Description: partial 16S ribosomal RNA
Rfam family: Archaeal small subunit ribosomal RNA
Source: RNAcentral
ACAGUCACACAUUAGAUACCCCCGUAGUCCCAGCCCUAAACGAUGCGCGUUAGGUGUAUCGGUGACCACGAGUCACCGAGGUGCCGAAGGGAAACCGUGUAACGUGCCGCCUGGGAAGUACGGUCGCAAGGCUGAAACUUAAAGGAAUUGGCGGGGAGCACCACAACGGGUGGAGCCUGCGGUUUAAUUGGACUCAACGCCGGGAAGCUCACCGGAUAAGACAGCGGAAUGAUUGCCGGGCUGAAGACCCUGCAUGACCAGCUG